Molecule: long non-coding RNA, 871 nt
Filed under: Sorghum bicolor (sorghum)
Lineage: Eukaryota; Viridiplantae; Streptophyta; Magnoliopsida; Poales; Poaceae
Description: long non-coding RNA (SBIC_LNC002193)
Source: RNAcentral
UUAGUUUUUCACUUUUUUCACUCAAUUUUUUUGACCUUACCAUAGUACCUGCAACUAUAUAUUUAAAUUUGGAAUAAUUUUUUACUUUUUAUAAUAUUUUUAUUGUACUAAUUUCAUUGCAUUCAAUUAUUUAAAAAAAUGCAAAUUUGAAUUGCACAUGCAUCGAAUAAUGAAUGUAGAGAUUUUUAAAAAUUAUAUUAAAUUUAGUGAGUGUCGUGUGAGGCCGUAUCCAGAAAUUGGAUGGAAAUUUCUAACAUAUUGUUCACCAGACAUGAAUGAAAACUUGCUGACAAAAUGUUUUUAAAAUCUAUAAAAUUCAAACGAAUUAAGAAAAUUACAAAACUCUAGGAAACAUCGUUAUAUCAUAUGUGUAAGUUAUACUAAAAAUUUGAGAAGGUUUGGUACACGUUGUCAUGUAUGAUGCUUAGAAACCACAACAUCAUACACACAUCUCACAUGUGAUCACAUAUGAGAUGUUCAGGUUUCUAAACAUCAUACGACCUAACGUGUGUGAAUCAUUCUCAAUUUUUUACCACAUCCUACACAUGUGAUCUCACGAUGUCUCGACAAGUUUCAUAAUUUUUAGACUAUGUUUGCAUUUAAUAUAAUUAAAAAGCUAUUCGCCCGUAAGUUUGGUGUAAUGUUUCGUGCCCAAGAUGUUCAAAAUUGCUUAAGUGUUCUUGGAUAGGGUUUCAAAGUACUCUAAGUAACACGAAUGUCAUUUUUUGAAUCAUUGAAUUCUACUAAUCGAGGCACCUGCAGUUCAACUUAUAUUUUUUGAAAAAUACAAAUAAAUGGAAAAAAUAAAUAAAUAUAGUAUAAGUUUCAAAAAAAAGUGCCAAAUUUUAACAUAUACUAUAAAAAACUAUGU